GUAGCUACAGUUUAAUCAGAACAUUAGACUGUGAAUCUAAUAAUAGAAGCUACAACUUCUUACCUACA
This 68-nucleotide transfer RNA is filed under the name Callithrix jacchus (white-tufted-ear marmoset). It matches the Rfam family "tRNA". Rfam says of the family: Transfer RNA (tRNA) molecules are approximately 80 nucleotides in length. The record is from Rfam by way of RNAcentral. Lineage: Eukaryota; Metazoa; Chordata; Mammalia; Primates; Cebidae.